This 243-nucleotide ribosomal RNA is filed under the name uncultured Actinomycetales bacterium. RNAcentral describes it as "partial 16S ribosomal RNA". It matches the Rfam family "Bacterial small subunit ribosomal RNA", at positions 88 to 334 of the family's 1533-position model. Lineage: Bacteria; Bacillati; Actinomycetota; Actinomycetes; Actinomycetales. The record is from RNAcentral.
UACUCGAGUGGCGAACGGGUGAGUAACACGUGGGUGAUCUGCCCUGCACUUCGGGAUAAGCCUGGGAAACUGGGUCUAAUACCGGAUAGGAGCCAUUUUUAGUGUGAUGGUUGGAAAGUUUUUUCGGUGUAGGAUGAGCUCGCGGCCUAUCAGCUUGUUGGUGGAGUAACGGCCUACCAAGGCGGCGACGGGUAGCCGGCCUGAGAGGGUGGACGGCCACAUUGGGACUGAGAUACGGCCCAG